RNAcentral lists this ribosomal RNA (497 nucleotides) under uncultured bacterium. RNAcentral describes it as "partial 16S ribosomal RNA". It matches the Rfam family "Bacterial small subunit ribosomal RNA", at positions 28 to 507 of the family's 1533-position model. The record is from RNAcentral.
GAUGAACGCUGGCGGCGUGCCUAAUACAUGCAAGUCGAGCGAACAGACGAGGAUCUUGCUCCUCUGACGUUAGCGGCGGACGGGUGAGUAACACGUGGAUAACCUACCUAUAAGACUGGGAUAACUUCGGGAAACCGGAGCUAAUACCGGAUAAUAUAUUGAACCGCAUGGUUCAAUAGUGAAAGACGGUUUUGCUGUCACUUAUAGAUGUAUCCGCGCCGCAUUAGCUAGUUGGUAAGGUAACGGCUUACCAAGGCAACGAUGCGUAGCCGACCUGAGAGGGUGAUCGGCCACACUGGAACUGAGACACGGUCCAGACUCCUACGGGAGGCAGCAGUAGGGAAUAUUCCGCAAUGGGCGAAAGCUUGACGGAGCAACGCCGCGUGAGUGAUGAAGGUCUUCGGAUCGUAAAACUCUGUUAUUAGGGAAGAACAAAUGUGUAAGUAAAUAUGCACGUCUUGACGGUACCUAAUCAGAAAGCCACGGCUAACUACGUG